Molecule: ribosomal RNA, 526 nt
Filed under: uncultured Actinomycetes bacterium
Lineage: Bacteria; Bacillati; Actinomycetota; Actinomycetes
Description: bacterial SSU rRNA
Rfam family: Bacterial small subunit ribosomal RNA
Source: RNAcentral
AGAGUUUGAUCAUGGCUCAGGACGAACGCUGGCGGCGCGCUUAACACAUGCAAGUCGAGCGAGAACCCAGGCUUCGGCCUGGGGGAAAGCGGCGAACGGGUGAGUAACACGUGAGUAAUCUGCCCUCGACAUCGGGAUAGCCCGGGGAAACCCGGAUUAAUACCGAAUGGCCCAUCAGCUUCUCGAAGCGGAUGGAAAAGGUAGCUUCGGCCUCCGGUCGAGGAGGAGCUCGCGGCGGAUUAGCUUGUUGGUGAGGUAACGGCUCACCAAGGCUCCGAUCCGUAGCUGGUCUGAGAGGACGAUCAGCCACACUGGGACUGAGACACGGCCCAGACUCCUACGGGAGGCAGCAGUGGGGAAUCUUGCGCAAUGGGCGAAAGCCUGACGCAGCGACGCCGCGUGAGGGAAGAAGGCCUUCGGGUUGUAAACCUCUUUCAGGAGGGACGAAGCCACUCGGGUUAAUAGCCCAGAGGGUGACGGUACCUCCAGAAGAAGCCCGGCUAACUACGUGCCAGCAGCCGCGGUA